RNAcentral lists this non-coding RNA (30 nucleotides) under Mus musculus (house mouse). The record is from RNAcentral. Lineage: Eukaryota; Metazoa; Chordata; Mammalia; Rodentia; Muridae.
UAGUCUAGAUAGUUACUGUAAAGAUGCUUU